Molecule: non-coding RNA, 516 nt
Organism: Procambarus clarkii (red swamp crayfish)
Lineage: Eukaryota; Metazoa; Arthropoda; Malacostraca; Decapoda; Cambaridae
Source: RefSeq, a predicted model, not a curated record
GGAGGCGGCGCACCAGCUUACGCAGCCCUCGCCUCAGACAGUGCGUCUGGCCGCCACCAAUAAGAAUGUAUCGUUCCUGAAGUCAUUUCCCAUCGAACACCGCUGGGCGCUCUGGUCCACCUUUAGCGUCGCCAACGAGAGUACCGGGUACCAGCUGCUGGUGGACGGGUACCAGGAAGAGAGUACCAUGGGGGACGUCCUUGUACGGCACCACAACCACAGUGGGAUGAAGUUCUCCACCCUGGACAGAGACAAUGAUAUCGGGCCAGGGUCCUGUGCUCAGGUCUACCGAGGAGGGUGGUGGUACAGGGGGUGCAGUUAUGUUCUUCCCACGACACCCCAUAGUCGCAUGAGGACAUGGUACUGGACGCCAGGUGACGGCAGCAGCGUGGUGAAUCUCCAGCAGCUACAGCUGAUGACACGACCCCAGAACUUCCCAACUUCUCACCAGUGACUGUUGUAUGGAGUGACCAGCCCCAGGGACCAGAGGUGACACGUGACCAGCCCCAGGGACCA